Molecule: unclassified non-coding RNA, 268 nt
Organism: Chlorocebus sabaeus (green monkey)
Lineage: Eukaryota; Metazoa; Chordata; Mammalia; Primates; Cercopithecidae
Rfam family: Metazoan signal recognition particle RNA
About the family: The signal recognition particle (SRP) is a universally conserved ribonucleoprotein. It is involved in the co-translational targeting of proteins to membranes. The eukaryotic SRP consists of a 300-nucleotide 7S RNA and six proteins: SRPs 72, 68, 54, 19, 14, and 9.
Source: Ensembl
GCCAGGUAUGGUGAUGCAUACCUGUAGUCUCAACUGUUCAGGAGGCUGAGAUGGGAGGAUCCUCUGAGCCCAGGAGGUUGAGGCUGCAGUGAGCCAUGAUCACACCACUGCACUCCAACUUGGGCUACAGAGGGAGACCCCAUCUAGUCCCAACUACUCAGGAGGCUGAGACGGGAGGAUCCCCUGAGCCCAGGAGGUUGAGGCUGCAGUGAGCCAUGAUCACAUCACUGCACUCCAACUUGGGCUACAGAGGGAGACCCCAUCUAGU